This 482-nucleotide ribosomal RNA is filed under the name uncultured bacterium. RNAcentral's name for it is "partial 16S ribosomal RNA". It matches the Rfam family "Bacterial small subunit ribosomal RNA", at positions 30 to 507 of the family's 1533-position model. The record is from RNAcentral.
AUUGAACGCUGGCGGCAUGAUUUACACAUGCAAGUCGAACGGUAACAGGCCGCAAGGUGCUGACGAGUGGCGAACGGGUGAGUAAUGCAUCGGAACGUGCCCAGUCGUGGGGGAUAACUACUCGAAAGAGUAGCUAAUACCGCAUACGAUCUAUGGAUGAAAGCGGGGGACCGUAAGGCCUCGCGCGAUUGGAGCGGCCGAUGUCAGAUUAGGUAGUUGGUGGGGUAAAGGCUCACCAAGCCAACGAUCUGUAGCUGGUCUGAGAGGACGACCAGCCACACUGGGACUGAGACACGGCCCAGACUCCUACGGGAGGCAGCAGUGGGGAAUUUUGGACAAUGGGCGCAAGCCUGGUCCAGCAAUGCCGCGUGCAGGAAGAAGGCCUUCGGGUUGUAAACUGCUUUUGUACGGAACGAAACGGCUCUGGUUAAUACCCGGGGCUAAUGACGGUACCGUAAGAAUAAGCACCGGCUAACUACGUG